This 253-nucleotide ribosomal RNA is filed under the name uncultured bacterium. Its description in RNAcentral is "partial 16S ribosomal RNA". It matches the Rfam family "Bacterial small subunit ribosomal RNA", at positions 524 to 776 of the family's 1533-position model. The record is from RNAcentral.
UACGUAGGGUGCAGGCGUUAAUCGGAAUUACUGGGCGUAAAGGGCGCGUAGGCGGCACUGUUAGUCAGGCGUGAAAGUCCUGGGCUCAACCUGGGAACUGCGCUUGAUACGGCAGAGCUAGAGGAUGGAAGAGGGUCGCGGAAUUCCCAGUGUAGAGGUGAAAUUCGUAGAUAUUCGCAAGAACACCAGUGGCGAAGGCGGCUCACUGGCCCGGUACUGACACUGAGGUGCGAAAGCGUGGGGAGCAAACAGG